Molecule: long non-coding RNA, 377 nt
Filed under: Equus asinus (donkey)
Lineage: Eukaryota; Metazoa; Chordata; Mammalia; Perissodactyla; Equidae
Description: lncRNA (ENSEASG00005033774.1)
Source: RNAcentral
CUUCACGUCAUUCCCAGGUGCCCUCAGCUCUAGUGUUGCCUCUGAUUCCCUGCUCUCCUAUCAUCCCACCAACGCUCAUCCCAUCACAGACCCAUGAGUGCAGCAGUGUCCUCUCUGGUCCUCCCUGUCUCCAGUGGUGAAGUUGGGGAAGGGUGGCCCCAGAUUGGAAAACAGCUCCAGAGGAAGGAUAUCGUUUGUUUGAGGUCACCCGGUUUGCGAAGAUGAAGUCAGAAUUUAGAGCCCAUGUUGUUCACUGAUGAGUUACGUCACUAACCACGUUCCAAAGUGAUGCUAGAUGGAAAGAAUGCUGGUGCUUCAGAGUCCUGGGGCAACCUUGAGAAGCUGCAGAGGAGUGGAUGACCACGAGCUGGGGCUUG